Haplochromis burtoni (Burton's mouthbrooder) is the source of this 2547-nucleotide long non-coding RNA. RefSeq lists it as uncharacterized. The transcript has 2 exons. The record is from RefSeq and is a predicted model, not a curated record. NCBI's taxonomy places the organism in Eukaryota, Metazoa, Chordata, Actinopteri, Cichliformes, Cichlidae.
GGCUUUAAUGCAACUAGUCUUAUAAUUAUCUACUAGUCUGCAACAGUUAGACUCGAUGAUUACACAUAGAUGAUUUAACUACUUUAGGGGCAUUUCACUUUUCUAAAAGUUUCACAGGCCAAUAGUUUUAAAUAGAGCACCACAAACAACAUGUAUUCUUUUAGAAAUAAACUGUGAUACUUCUAAAAAACACAUAUUCACACCUAGCCACACUCAUUAACAGUUAGACAGAGGCGGUUGCAGUUAGGCUCCCAACAGUCUGCAAAAGAAGUCAUGAAGCAAACAAAAGAGGCUCCCUUAUCAAGAGCAUCCCAGCCCAAAGGUGUUUCUUCACAAACCGUUAAUUCCAUUAUCUUAUCUUAUCAUGUCAGAGGCCAACAGAAACCGUGGCCAACCCCGGGGGGUAAUGACACCUCCUACUGGGCUAGUCUAACACAUGUACAUAUAAAACGGACUCCUUCACCAUUUGGAGCAUCAACAGAGCGACCUAAGGAACGCAGACACCUCUAACUAAGGAGUGCAGGAUGACAUCUGUAUCAACCAUGACGAGCAGUCAGGACAUCGCCCAAGCCACAGCCAUACUAGGUACGUCUACAGGCGCAUGCCCCAGGGGCCCUCAUCGCAAAAAGCAGCGCUGUGAAAACGCCGUAGAUGGGACUGAAUUUAAGCUAGAAUAUAGAGGCAGUAAUGGGUAUGUGUAUACCGUUAAAUAUACCAACGGAGCAGUUAUACUUCGUGUAGAUUGUGGUGAGGGAGUGUUUUGGGGGGAGACACAACGCAUGUCUACUAGAAACUGGAAAGUCUUUCGCACAGUUGUUUGUGCGGACUUGGACAGUGUGGGAUUCCCAGAGAUGCUGUAUGUUUCCCAGUGGAACAGUCCAACAGGCCUUGAACUUUACAGGGUCGAGGCUGAUCGCUUCAACCGUAGCCCCGAUGACUUUAUUUUUCUCAGUGUAUGUGAUGACAGGGAAAGUCUUAUUGCUGUCAGAGGGGUUGAAAACUGAAGGUUAAAUCCUUACCCUCUGAGCAUAGAAGAGCGCGCUACAUGGUUUAAGGACAUGUUUUUUUUAUACAGUGGUGCGACUGGAGACCUAUGCUGCAUCUGUUUAGCCAGAUUGACGACACCAUCAAGAGGGUAGUCUCAACACUGCGUACGAGGGUAUUAGAAAACGCCUUGUUUUUGAUGAUUUUGCGACUUGUCCGAAGACUGGUUUGCCUUCUACCCUGUGCAAACCUAAAAUCAUAAGGCCGUCUGACAACUAAAUAAACAAAAUGAGGGAGACAUGCAAGCAUGGGACCUCACCAACUCCACCCCCCUCUCCACAAUUGCUGCCGCAGGACCCUACAGGAUCGGGUCUGUGUCAGGAAACCAUUAUCGACAUCAAGCUUGCAACCCACCACUUGCUGAUGUUGGCGCUAAAUGACUUUCUACAGGAUACAUGCUACAGAUGUCAAACAGCUCAUCCCAGUCAGGUGCAACACAGCUGCUUGCACGAAUUGUCCGAGUAUUUCUUUGACACCUACUAUGACGAUGUGAUGAUAAGGCUUAUGACAGACCGAUUCAUCCCUGCCAUUCGACUGUUUGUACGCGCAUACACAGUCGUUGGGACUGGAACACAAUUCAGCAGGAUUGCAGAACACACCAUGACUGAACUGAGAUCAUCACAACAUAUAGUAUGCGCAAUUAACGACAACAUUGGGCUGCUGUUAGAAUCAAGUCGUUAUGCCCAGCUUGUUAAACCAGCCAUGCUUUGCAUGAUUGGUAACUACUGGGCUGGGAGACACCUGGUUUAAUGUAUACUGUUCAGUAUUCCUUGUCUGUGUGAAUGAAAUAAAAAGACGUGUUAACACCAACAUUUUAGUCAUUUGUGUCUUGCAUACAUCAUGGAAAACACCUUGUAUAAAAUUUAUCAUGAACCGGCCCAUCCUGCUGGCUUGGCCAGUUUAAAUAAGCUCCGUUUAGCUACCGCCGAGGCAACAGGGGUAAAACCCUCAUUAUCACAGGUCAAACAUUAUUUAGAACAAGAUGACACUUACACACUCCAUAAACCAGCUAGGAUCCACUUUCCCAGAAACAGAGUAUUGGUUAAUGGAAUCGACAAACAAUUUCAAGCCGAUCUGGUUGAUAUGUCUGAAUACAUGGCAGAUAAUGACAGUGUUAGAUACCUGCUAACAUGUAUAGAUGUAUUCUCAAAAUAUGCAUGGGUUAGAUGUCUCACAACCAAGACGGGCCCGGCCAUAACAGCCGCAUUUGAGGAUAUACUUACCGAGGGCAGGAUCCCCAUGAAACUACAAACAGAUGAAGGCAAAGAAUUUUAUAAUACACCCUUUAAACAGCUAAUGAAGCGAUAUAACAUCAAGCAUUUCUCAACAGCUAGUGAGGUUAAAUCUAGUAUUGUUGAAAGAAUCAACCGCAGCUUCAAGGGUAGAAUGUGCAAGUAUUUAACAUCCGUCAACUCAAGGAGAUAUGUACAAGUCAUCCCUGAGCUCACACAGGCAUAUAACAAUGCUUAUCACAGGUCUAUCCAAAUGGCUCCGGCAGAGGUA